GAGACUGCAGUGUGAACAGAAGACACAACAACCCACGGAGUGAAGAAUUCUCUGGGCUGCCCCAGCAAUGCAGAGCAGUGUUCCCCUGGAGAGUGGAUGAACUCAAGCAGAGGGGCAGCCCCAGCCCUGGGCUCAGGGGGAAUGGGAAUCAGGUUUGCCCUUGCGCCCCAGGGUAGCUGGUGAAGGCUGUCUUGGAUAAUCUUCGGCCUCUCCCUUCCAGACUCUUCUUUAAGCAUCCCCAUCCCACCUUAGUAUCCUAGUCCCUCUGCUACUUCCGUGCUUGCCUUCCUGGGACAGUGAUCGUUGCAGUUCCUGCUGACUUGGAGUGCCCCUCCUCGCUCUGUGUCCUGUGAGAAAGCAGAUGAUUCCAAUGUACAGCCAAUGAUGAGCAGCUGCUGGGCUGGAGGGACUGGGGCCAUUUUAUACCAGGUCCUUCGAAUAAUGCCACCGGGCUUGAGAGUAUUGUGCCCCCUCCCUGCCCCUCUCCAAAAGCCACAUUGUCUCUCUGUGUAGCCCCUGUUGGCUGUGAGCACCUUCUCUCCUCCUCUGAUUUCUUUGCAACCCUCCUCUUUGGGACUGCUGCUGUCCCCUGCCUCUCACUCUGCAGCUGUGAACCGGAGACACCUGCACAUCCCUGCAACUCCCUGCAGCUAAACAAGCAGCUUCUCGAGGAACCCUGUGUGCACAAGGAUGUUACACAGAAAUGCCUAAAAAGCAAGGAGCAGCCAUCAGAAUGUUUGGUGACACGGCUCCUCCUGUCGUGGUUCCUUCAGCAUGGACUUCACAUUCAGCAGACCCAUGAGGUGUUCCCUUUCGGAUGAGCUCCAAGGUCUUAAGAGAGCAUCUCUAGUCUGCGUGAGUCCAUCUGAACAACGGUCCUGAGCAAGAACCACCUAUAACCAUCUGCUCAAAAUAACUCAGGGGAAGUCAAAGCUUUCUAUGUGGAAGGUGACUGAAACCACAUACCCAGACCACUGUAGCAUUCCUGACAUUACGGAGCUUGGAAAUGAUUCCAAAUGCGAACAUAGCUUGCUACAUGAGUGACAUGUUUUGCUAUGACAAGAACUUGGAGUGUAAUCCUUCCCCCCUCAAGAAUGUGACAUCACACCUUAUCAGAUCCUACGUGUGAGCUACUGACCUCAACCACUGAACUUCAAACUACGUAAAAACCUAAGGGUUUGACAGACGCUUUGAGAGCUUGGGCUGUGGCAAGCUACACCCUGUCAGCCUCUCUUCGACAGGGCCCCACCCUGCUAGCCUUUGAACUUGGAAGCAUCACCUGCAAACACCGGUGCCACCCUCUAGCGUUGAGGGACCACAUAUGUCUUUGUGAAUCUCCGUUGUGUGGGACGGCUUCUCUCCCAAGAGCUGCUCUUAUAAAAGAGACACACCACAUUUUAAUGAGCCUUCGCUCUCCACAGAGGCCUGCUUCCAUCCUAAUUGAGCAAGUAGACUUUAGUAACUUUGGAACUCAGUCACUCUGUGACUAAUACACCCUGUCUACCCAGCGCAUUCCCUGUGAGAUUUGUUCAUGUUGUUCUCCCCCUCCUUAAGCAUUGUGAACCUAGGAAAAAUAUCAUCUUUGUAGGGCAAUAAACCAUGUGAUUUGUGAAAUCAUA
This is a long non-coding RNA of Nomascus leucogenys (northern white-cheeked gibbon), 1619 nucleotides long. RefSeq lists it as uncharacterized. The transcript is spliced from 4 exons. The record is from RefSeq and is a predicted model, not a curated record. Lineage: Eukaryota; Metazoa; Chordata; Mammalia; Primates; Hylobatidae.